UCGAGAGUCUCUAGCUUUUGCGAAUCCGCUUCCUCAGUGCUUCCAUAAGUUUAAGUUCACGCUUAUUGAAGAACUGCAGGUGGUGGAUUUACUCUUGCAAUAA
RNAcentral lists this microRNA precursor (103 nucleotides) under Oikopleura dioica. RNAcentral describes it as "microRNA odi-mir-1497a precursor". The record is from miRBase by way of RNAcentral. Lineage: Eukaryota; Metazoa; Chordata; Appendicularia; Copelata; Oikopleuridae.